Molecule: non-coding RNA, 150 nt
Filed under: Clostridium sp.
Lineage: Bacteria; Bacillati; Bacillota; Clostridia; Eubacteriales; Clostridiaceae
Description: GlcN6P sequence
Rfam family: glmS glucosamine-6-phosphate activated ribozyme aptamer
About the family: This entry contains a glucosamine-6-phosphate activated ribozyme that is found in the mRNA for GlmS. GlmS is an enzyme that uses fructose-6-phosphate and glutamine to generate glucosamine-6-phosphate.
Source: RNAcentral
CUUAUUUAUUUAGCGCCAGGCCCAAAAGAGGGUGACGAGGACUAUGGUUAUCGAAAGAUUCGGCGGAUGCCAUAGCGGAUUUGUGAAUCGUAAGAAAUACUUUUAAAAGAUAAAAUUGAAAUUAUAACAAAGAAGUAUUUCACACAGUUA